CUAUUUAUAAUGGUUUGUCACACAUGUAGAGAAGCAAAUGGUGAACCGUUAAAGUUUCAAGUGAGCUAAUAGGCUCAAUGCUUGUCUAGUGAAUGCUUUCAAACUAAAUCAUCUAUCGUGAUGCUUCCAGAGACCAAACGUUGUGUGUCUAUCAAGGGUGUCGCCUAUCUGUCCAGAUUCAGUUCUUCCCCUUCAAUGCACCAUAAUAUUUUUAGUUAUCA
This 221-nucleotide long non-coding RNA is filed under the name Panax ginseng (ginseng). Its description in RNAcentral is "long non-coding RNA (PGIN_LNC002573)". Lineage: Eukaryota; Viridiplantae; Streptophyta; Magnoliopsida; Apiales; Araliaceae. The record is from RNAcentral.